RNAcentral lists this ribosomal RNA (492 nucleotides) under uncultured bacterium. RNAcentral describes it as "partial 16S ribosomal RNA". It matches the Rfam family "Bacterial small subunit ribosomal RNA", at positions 29 to 507 of the family's 1533-position model. The record is from RNAcentral.
AGUGAACGCUGGCGGUAGGCCUAACACAUGCAAGUCGAACGGCAGCACAGUAAGAGCUUGCUCUUACGGGUGGCGAGUGGCGGACGGGUGAGGAAUACAUCGGAAUCUACUUUUUCGUGGGGGAUAACGUAGGGAAACUUACGCUAAUACCGCAUACGACCUACGGGUGAAAGCAGGGGAUCUUCGGACCUUGCGCGAUUGAAUGAGCCGAUGUCGGAUUAGCUAGUUGGCGGGGUAAAGGCCCACCAAGGCGACGAUCCGUAGCUGGUCUGAGAGGAUGAUCAGCCACACUGGAACUGAGACACGGUCCAGACUACUACGGGAGGCAGCAGAGGGGAAUAUUGGACAAGGGGCGCAAGCCUGAUCCAGCCAGACCGCGUGGGUGAAGAAGGCCUUCGGGUUGUAAAGCCCUUUUGUUGGGAAAGAAAAGCAGCAGGUUAAUACCCCGCUGUUCUGACGGUACCCAAAGAAUAAGCACCGGCUAACUUCGUG